RNAcentral lists this ribosomal RNA (1216 nucleotides) under Salmonella enterica subsp. enterica serovar Enteritidis. RNAcentral's name for it is "partial 23S ribosomal RNA". It matches the Rfam family "Bacterial large subunit ribosomal RNA", at positions 111 to 1230 of the family's 2925-position model. The record is from RNAcentral. Lineage: Bacteria; Pseudomonadati; Pseudomonadota; Gammaproteobacteria; Enterobacterales; Enterobacteriaceae.
UACCCGAAUGGGGAAACCCAGUGUGACUCGUCACACUAUCAUUAACUGAAUCCAUAGGUUAAUGAGGCGAACCGGGGGAACUGAAACAUCUAAGUACCCCGAGGAAAAGAAAUCAACCGAGAUUCCCCCAGUAGCGGCGAGCGAACGGGGAGGAGCCCAGAGCCUGAAUCAGCAUGUGUGUUAGUGGAAGCGUCUGGAAAGGCGCGCGAUACAGGGUGACAGCCCCGUACACAAAAGCGCAUGUGCUGUGAGCUCGAUGAGUAGGGCGGGACACGUGGUAUCCUGUCUGAAUAUGGGGGGACCAUCCUCCAAGGCUAAAUACUCCUGACUGACCGAUAGUGAACCAGUACCGUGAGGGAAAGGCGAAAAGAACCCCGGCGAGGGGAGUGAAAAAGAACCUGAAACCGUGUACGUACAAGCAGUGGGAGCCCCACCACCAAAGCAUUUGCUGUACCGCGUUGACGGAGCGAAGCGACGUCAAACCGAUAAAACAGCAGUGUAAAGUGAGCCGCAGGGCGCUUUGCGCGACAGCGCAAAGGCAGGCGGUUUCGCGUAGCGAAAGCGAAUGCUUUGGGGUGGGGUGACUGCGUACCUUUUGUAUAAUGGGUCAGCGACUUAUAUUCUGUAGCAAGGUUAACCGAAUAGGGGAGCCGGAGGGAAACCGAGUCUUAAUUGGGCGUUAAGUUGCAGGGUAUAGACCCGAAACCCGGUGAUCUAGCCAUGGGCAGGUUGAAGGUUGGGUAACACUAACUGGAGGACCGAACCGACUAAUGUUGAAAAAUUAGCGGAUGACCUGUGGCUGGGGGUGAAAGGCCAAUCAAACCGGGAGAUAGCUGGUUCUCCCCGAAAGCUAUUUAGGUAGCGCCUCGUGAAUUCAUCUCCGGGGGUAGAGCACUGUUUCGGCUAGGGGGCCAUCCCGGCUUACCAACCCGAUGCAAACUGCGAAUACCGGAGAAUGUUAUCACGGGAGACACACGGCGGGUGCUAACGUCCGUCGUGAAGAGGGAAACAACCCAGACCGCCAGCUAAGGUCCCAAAGUCAUGGUUAAGUGGGAAACGAUGUGGGAAGGCCCAGACAGCCAGGAUGUUGGCUUAGAAGCAGCCAUCAUUUAAAGAAAGCGUAAUAGCUCACUGGUCGAGUCGGCCUGCGCGGAAGAUGUAACGGGGCUAAACCAUGCACCGAAGCUGCGGCAGCGACACUGUGUGUUGUUGGGUA